RNAcentral lists this ribosomal RNA (468 nucleotides) under uncultured bacterium. RNAcentral describes it as "partial 16S ribosomal RNA". It matches the Rfam family "Bacterial small subunit ribosomal RNA", at positions 28 to 507 of the family's 1533-position model. The record is from RNAcentral.
GACGAACGCUGGCGGCGUGCUUAACACAUGCAAGUCGAACGGAAAGGCCCUGCUUUUGUGGGGUGCUCGAGUGGCGAACGGGUGAGUAACACGUGAGUAACCUGCCCUUGACUUUGGGAUAACUUCAGGAAAAUGGGGCUAAUACAGGAUAGGAGCUCCUGCUGCAUGGUGGGGGUUGGAAAGUUUCGGCGGUUGGGGAUGGAAUCGCGGCUUAUCAGCUUGUUGGUGGGGUAGUGGCUUACCAAGGCUUUGACGGGUAGCCGGCCUGAGAGGGUGACCGGCCACAUUGGGACUGAGAUACGGACCAGACGCCUACGGGAGGCAGCAGUGGGGAAUAUUGCACAAUGGGCGGACGCCUGAUGCAGCAACGCCGCGUGCGGGAUGACGGCCUUCGGGUGGUAAACCGCUUUCGCCUGUGACGAAGCGUGAGUGACGGUAAUGGGUAAAGAAGCACCGGCUAACUACGUG